This 253-nucleotide ribosomal RNA is filed under the name uncultured bacterium. RNAcentral's name for it is "partial 16S ribosomal RNA". It matches the Rfam family "Bacterial small subunit ribosomal RNA", at positions 524 to 776 of the family's 1533-position model. The record is from RNAcentral.
UACAGAGGUCCCAAGCGUUGUUCGGAUUCAUUGGGCGUAAAGGGUGCGUAGGCGGCGCGGUAAGUCGGGUGUGAAAUCUCGGGGCUUAACUCCGAAACUGCAUUCGAUACUGCCGUGCUUGAGGACUGGAGAGGAGACUGGAAUUUACGGUGUAGCGGUGAAAUGCGCAGAUAUCAGGAGGAACACCGGUGGCGAAGGCGGUUCUCUGGGAAUGUCCUGACGCUGAGGAGCGAAAGUGUGGGGAGCGAACAGG